Non-coding RNA from Punica granatum (pomegranate), 714 nucleotides. The record is from RefSeq and is a predicted model, not a curated record. Lineage: Eukaryota; Viridiplantae; Streptophyta; Magnoliopsida; Myrtales; Lythraceae.
AAAAGAACCAAAAGACACAUCAAAUCAACAACACCUUGUCAUUCAAAUGCCCAACUGUAGACUCUUAGUAUAAAGGAACUUUAAUGCUGUGGUGGUGGCUGGCUUAAAACCCAGAAGACCCAGAAGCCACUGAUGCUCUGUUGCGUCUACCUUUGGAUGUGGAAACGAAUGCAGUACAUGGAGUUGCUGGUGGCUGGAACCUCCUGAUGUAUUCAUAUUGUGCUGGAGCAAUUGGAGCAUAUGGUUUAACAAAAAACCUUAGAAGAAACCACACUCAGCAGAAGAGAAACAACAUAUUCAAGUUAAUAAUAAGGCAAGAGCUGUGAGAUAUAUACUUGGCUAGGAUUUCUGACAAUAAAUUCAGAUCCUUGUGGGGUAGCAGCUGCGUGGGGAAUACUAUCAGCAGUUCUAAUUCUCAUUGCCUACAAUUAGCAAUUUAAGGUUUGGCAAUAUAUAGACAUUGAGAGAAUGAAUGUAAAGAAUAUCAUUAUAGUCAAAAUCAGAAACUCACAAUGUUAAUCCCACUGGAAGAUCCAGUUACAUCAUGCUGAUAUGGGUUUGGGUUUGAAUACCCAGCUGCAUCAUUAUGAUGUAGGUUUGGGUUUGAAGAGCUAGCUAUAUUACUUGUUUUCUUGCCUCUCUUGUGACGAGUUCUUAUAUUGUGACCUCCAUACUUGCUACAUCUGUUGACAAUGCAUCCCUUAUUUCCCAGGA